GAUGAAGAACGCAGCGAAAUGCGAUACGUAAUGUGAAUUGCAAAUUCAGUGAAUCAUCGAGUCUUUGAACGCACAUUGCGCCCCCUGGUAUUCCGGGGGGCAUGCCUGUUCGAGCGUCAUUUCAACCAUCAAGCCCCAGGCUUGUGUUGGGGACCUGCGGCUGCCGCAGGCCCUGAAAACCAGUGGCGGGCUCGCUGUCACACCGGGCGUAGUAGAUUUUAUCUCGCUCAGGGCGUGCUGCGGGUUCCGGCCGUUAAAAAGCCUUUUUUACCCAAGGUUGACCUCGGAUCAGGUAGGAAGACCCGCUGAACUUAAGCAUAUCAAUAAGCGGAGGA
Molecule: unclassified non-coding RNA, 335 nt
Filed under: soil metagenome
Description: partial contains 5.8S ribosomal RNA, internal transcribed spacer 2, and large subunit ribosomal RNA
Rfam family: 5.8S ribosomal RNA (bases 1-119)
Source: RNAcentral